AACGAACGCUGGCGGCAUGCCUAACACAUGCAAGUCGAACGAGACCUUCGGGUCUAGUGGCGCACGGGUGCGUAACGCGUGGGAACCUGCCCUUAGGUUCGGAAUAACUCCCCGAAAGGGGUGCUAAUACCGGAUAAUGUCUUCGGACCAAAGAUUUAUCGCCUUUGGAUGGGCCCGCGUUGCAUUAGCUAGUUGGUAGGGUAAAAGCCUACCACGGCAACGAUGCAUAGCCGGUCUGAGAGGAUGAUCAGCCACCCCGGGACUGAGACACGGCCCAGACGUAUACGGGAGGGAGCAGUAGGGCAUCUUCCGCAAGGGGCGAAAGCCUGACGGAGCAACGCCGCGUGAGUGAUGAAGGUCUUCGGAUCGUAAAACUCUGUUAUUAGGGAAGAACAUAUGUGUAAGUAACUGUGCACAUCUUGACGGGACCUAAUCAGAAAGCCACGGCUAACUACGUG
RNAcentral lists this ribosomal RNA (458 nucleotides) under uncultured bacterium. RNAcentral describes it as "partial 16S ribosomal RNA". It matches the Rfam family "Bacterial small subunit ribosomal RNA", at positions 29 to 507 of the family's 1533-position model. The record is from RNAcentral.